This 230-nucleotide ribosomal RNA is filed under the name uncultured bacterium. RNAcentral describes it as "partial 16S ribosomal RNA". It matches the Rfam family "Bacterial small subunit ribosomal RNA", at positions 118 to 350 of the family's 1533-position model. The record is from RNAcentral.
UGAGUAACCUGCCUUCAGCUUUGGGAUAACCCUCGGAAACGGGGCUAAUACCGGGUAUUCAGCUUCUGCGGCAUCGUGGGGGUUGGAAAGUUUUUCGGCUGGGGAUGGGCUCGCGGCCUAUCAGCUUGUUGGUGGGGUAAUGGCCUACCAAGGCGGCGACGGGUAGCCGGCCUGAGAGGGUGACCGGCCACACUGGGACUGAGACACGGCCCAGACUCCUACGGGAGGCA